RNAcentral lists this ribosomal RNA (568 nucleotides) under Aspergillus flavus. Its description in RNAcentral is "eukaryotic LSU rRNA". The stretch from base 194 to 347 matches the Rfam family "5.8S ribosomal RNA". The record is from RNAcentral. Lineage: Eukaryota; Fungi; Ascomycota; Eurotiomycetes; Eurotiales; Aspergillaceae.
AAGGAUCAUUACCGAGUGUAGGGUUCCUAGCGAGCCCAACCUCCCACCCGUGUUUACUGUACCUUAGUUGCUUCGGCGGGCCCGCCAUUCAUGGCCGCCGGGGGCUUUCAGCCCCGGGCCCGCGCCCGCCGGAGACACCACGAACUCUGUCUGAUCUAGUGAAGUCUGAGUUGAUUGUAUCGCAAUCAGUUAAAACUUUCAACAAUGGAUCUCUUGGUUCCGGCAUCGAUGAAGAACGCAGCGAAAUGCGAUAACUAGUGUGAAUUGCAGAAUUCCGUGAAUCAUCGAGUCUUUGAACGCACAUUGCGCCCCCUGGUAUUCCGGGGGGCAUGCCUGUCCGAGCGUCAUUGCUGCCCAUCAAGCACGGCUUGUGUGUUGGGUCGUCGUCCCCUCUCCGGGGGGGACGGGCCCCAAAGGCAGCGGCGGCACCGCGUCCGAUCCUCGAGCGUAUGGGGCUUUGUCACCCGCUCUGUAGGCCCGGCCGGCGCUUGCCGAACGCAAAUCAAUCUUUUUCCAGGUUGACCUCGGAUCAGGUAGGGAUACCCGCUGAACUUAAGCAUAUCAAUAA